RNAcentral lists this ribosomal RNA (476 nucleotides) under uncultured bacterium. RNAcentral's name for it is "partial 16S ribosomal RNA". It matches the Rfam family "Bacterial small subunit ribosomal RNA", at positions 28 to 523 of the family's 1533-position model. The record is from RNAcentral.
GAUGAACGCUGGCGGCGUGCUUAACACAUGCAAGUCGAGCGAGUGAGUUCUUCGGAACGAUCUAGCGGCGGACGGGUGAGUAACACGUGGGCAACCUGCCUCAUAGAGGGGAAUAGCCUCCCGAAAGGGAGAUUAAUACCGCAUAAAAUUAUCGAGUGGCAUCACAUGAUAAUCAAAGGAGUAAUCCGCUAUGAGAUGGGCCCGCGGCGCAUUAGCUAGUUGGUGAGGUAACGGCUCACCAAGGCGACGAUGCGUAGCCGACCUGAGAGGGUGAUCGGCCACAGUGGGACUGAGCCACGGCCCAGACUCCUACGGGAGGCAGCAGUGGGGAAUAUUGCACAAUGGGGGAAACCCUGAUGCAGCCGCGCCGCGUGAGUGAUGAAGGUCUUCGGAUUGUAAAGCUCUGUCUUUGGGGACGAUAAUGACGGUACCCAAGGAGGAAGCCACGGCUAACUACGUGCCAGCAGCCGCCGUAA